ACUACAUUCGUUAUGGACCUGUGAUACCUGGAAGUGACAUCUGAUGAAGAGAAUCAAAGCUAAGUCCCCUCCUGUUCCAUGGUUUAACAAGCGAUGACCACUCUACUUCCAUUGUCAACUAACUCCUCACAUGAACUGGAAGCCACGUCUCAUGUGGCCCACUCAACCACUGGCACAUUGAAUGUUUCCUCUCCAAGCACGUCAAACCCUGCCCUGCACUGGUCAAGCCUCUGAACACCUCAACUCAUGCCUCAUACCCU
Salmo salar (Atlantic salmon) is the source of this 260-nucleotide long non-coding RNA. RefSeq lists it as uncharacterized. Lineage: Eukaryota; Metazoa; Chordata; Actinopteri; Salmoniformes; Salmonidae. The record is from RefSeq and is a predicted model, not a curated record.